Molecule: ribosomal RNA, 264 nt
Filed under: uncultured bacterium
Lineage: Bacteria
Description: partial 16S ribosomal RNA
Rfam family: Bacterial small subunit ribosomal RNA
Source: RNAcentral
GUCCUUGCCGUAAACGAUGUAUACUUGAUGUAGCUGGAAUCAACCCUAGUUGUGUCGUAGCUAACGCGAUAAGUAUACCGCCUGGGGAGUACGCUCGCAAGGGUGAAACUCAAAAAGAAUUGACGGGGACCCGCACAAGCAGUGGAGCAUGUGGUUUAAUUCGAUGCAACGCGAAGAACCUUACCCAGACUUGACAUGCAGAGGAAUAUAGUGGAGACAUUAUAGCCCGCAAGGGUCUUUGCACAGGUGCUGCAUGGCUGUCGU